Molecule: ribosomal RNA, 460 nt
Filed under: uncultured bacterium
Lineage: Bacteria
Description: partial 16S ribosomal RNA
Rfam family: Bacterial small subunit ribosomal RNA
Source: RNAcentral
CCUACGGGAGGCAGCAGUGAGGAAUCUUUGUCAAUGGCCGUAAGGCUGAACCAGCCAAGUAGCGUGAGGGAAGACUGCCCUAUGGGUUGUAAACCUCUUUUAUGCGGGGAUAAAGGUGUCCGCGUGUGGAUGUUUGCAGGUACCGCAUGAAUAAGGACCGGCUAAUUCCGUGCCCACAGCCGCGGUAAUACGGAAUGUCCGGGCGUUGUCCGGAUGUAUGGGGGUUAAGGGGAGCGUAGCGCGUUCUGUAAGCGUGCCGUGAAAUUUUGGGGCUCAACCAUGAGAGUGCGGCGCGAACUGGAGACCUUGAGUGCGCGGAAGGCAGGCGGAAUUCGUGGUGUAGCAGUGAAAUGCUUAGAGAUCACGAAGAACCCCGAUUGCGAAGGCAGGCUGCCGCAGCGUUACUGACGCUGAAGCUCGAAAGCGCGGGUAUCGAACAGGAUUAGAUACCCGAGUAGUC